Molecule: long non-coding RNA, 373 nt
Filed under: Capsicum annuum
Lineage: Eukaryota; Viridiplantae; Streptophyta; Magnoliopsida; Solanales; Solanaceae
Description: long non-coding RNA (CANN_LNC015299)
Source: RNAcentral
UCCAACAUCCAUAACAAAUGAAAAUACAAAAACCAAUAUAAAUCUCAUGUCUGGUAGUCAUGGAUACAAACCUCUGUGUAAAAGAGUAAUACAACAAAAGGUCCAUAAAAUUUUAAUGUAGCAGGAAAGUAUAGACAAGGAUGAGAGGAGAGUCCAAGUUGUGUGGAAUAAACAUCCCCUACCUCAAGAAUCUCCGCAAGUAAUCACCAGCACAACAUUGAUCAAUGCUUGAGGACCAGUAACUGUAUGUAAAGUGCAGAAAUUAACAAACACGAGUACUAAACAAUAUGUACUCAAUAGUAUCAUCGAGUGACCCUAAUUUAAUAAGAUAAUAAAAGUCAACAAACUAACCUUUGGAAACAACCAAAUAACA